GAUAUGGGCGAAGGGAAUGGCCGAGGAAGGGAGAGCUUGUGAUAUGGGUGAAGGGAAUGGCCGAGAAAGGGAGAGCUUGUGAUAUGGGUGUAAGGGAAUGGCCAAGGAAGGGAGAGCUUGUGAUAUGGGUGAAGGGAAUGGCCGAGGAAGGGAGAGCUUGUGAUAUGGGUGAAGGGAAUGGCCGAGGAAGGGAGAGCUUGUGAUAUGGGUGAAGGGAAUGGCCGAGGAAGGGAGAGCUUGUGAUAUGGGUGAAGGGAAUGGCCGAGUAAGGGAGAGCUUGUGAUAUGGGCGAAGGGAAUGGCCGAGGAAGGGAGAGCUUGUGAUAUGGGCGAAGGGAAUGGCCGAGGAAGGGAGAGCUUGUGAUAUGGGCGAAGGGAAUGGCCGAGGAAGGGAGAGCUUGUGAUAUGGGCGAAGGGAAUGGCC
Eriocheir sinensis (Chinese mitten crab) is the source of this 423-nucleotide long non-coding RNA. RefSeq lists it as uncharacterized. The transcript is spliced from 2 exons. The record is from RefSeq and is a predicted model, not a curated record. Lineage: Eukaryota; Metazoa; Arthropoda; Malacostraca; Decapoda; Varunidae.